RNAcentral lists this unclassified non-coding RNA (371 nucleotides) under soil metagenome. RNAcentral's name for it is "partial contains 5.8S ribosomal RNA, internal transcribed spacer 2, and large subunit ribosomal RNA". The stretch from base 1 to 120 matches the Rfam family "5.8S ribosomal RNA", at positions 35 to 154 of the family's 154-position model. The record is from RNAcentral.
GAUGAAGAACGUAGCGAAAUGCGAUAAGUAAUGUGAAUUGCAGAAUUCAGUGAAUCAUCGAAUCUUUGAACGCACAUUGCGCCCCCCGGCAUUCCGGGGAGCAUGCCUGUUCGAGCGCCUCUUGGAAUACCCCUCACGCCGGCGGAGGCGUGGUCAUGGCGGCGGUGGCGUGCCCCGAGAGGGAGGCCACCGCGCUGGAAUCCAUGGGCGGACGCCUGCCGCGUGGCCGAGCGUGAUAAGACGCACUGGCGCUCGCGCGCGGCGAGGCUGCCGGCCCUGGCCCGCUCGUCGGGCGGGGACAGCAACACUUGGGAACUCCUCGAAUCAGGUAGGGAUACCCGCUGAACUUAAGCAUAUCAAUAAGCGGAGGA